Molecule: non-coding RNA, 29 nt
Filed under: Homo sapiens (human)
Lineage: Eukaryota; Metazoa; Chordata; Mammalia; Primates; Hominidae
Source: RNAcentral
UGGAUUGAUUGCAAAAUGGGCUAAGUGGC